This 93-nucleotide small nuclear RNA is filed under the name Erinaceus europaeus (western European hedgehog). Lineage: Eukaryota; Metazoa; Chordata; Mammalia; Eulipotyphla; Erinaceidae. The record is from RNAcentral.
UUAAAAAAAAAAUAAAAUGGGAACAAAGCAGAGAAGGCUAGCACGGCCCCCGCACAAGGAUGACACACAAACUCAUGAAGGUUCCAUAUUUUU